GAAAUAUAAAUAAAUUAAGCUUCUAACUUAAUAAUAGUGAAUAAACCCAUUAAUAUUUCU
This 60-nucleotide transfer RNA is filed under the name Graphium agetes. Its description in RNAcentral is "tRNA-Ser". Lineage: Eukaryota; Metazoa; Arthropoda; Insecta; Lepidoptera; Papilionidae. The record is from RNAcentral.